RNAcentral lists this unclassified non-coding RNA (254 nucleotides) under Hevea brasiliensis (rubber tree). The record is from RNAcentral. Lineage: Eukaryota; Viridiplantae; Streptophyta; Magnoliopsida; Malpighiales; Euphorbiaceae.
GAGGCAGGUUCCUCCAAGUAAUAUGGAGGCAACGAAUCCAGAAAAUGGUGGAGAUACGGGUGAUCAAAUUGUUAAUGCAGCAGCUCAAGUGAUAUGAACGGAUCUUUCUAUCUGUUGGGUUCUGGAUGAAUGAUGGCCGGCUUUGGGUUUUGAUUCGAUAUUCCCAAUUCAAUAUCUUUUGAAAAUUUUCUUGCCGAGAAGCUUAUAAAGGAAAAUCUAACCGAUAUGAAGCUUAACAAAGGUGGGGAUUUGAG